AGGGCAAGUCUGGUGCCAGCAGCCGCGGUAAUUCCAGCUCCAAUAGCGUAUAUUAAAGUUGUUGCAGUUAAAAAGCUCGUAGUUGAAUUUCGGGGUUAGUAGGUUGGUCAUGCCACUGGUAUGUACUGAUCUUACUGAUUCCUCCUUCCUGAUGAACCGUAAUGCCAUUAAUUUGGUGUUGCGGGGAGACUGGACUGUUACUUUGAAAAAAUUAGAGUGUUUAAAGCAGGCUAACGCUUGAAUACAUUAGCAUGGAAUAAUGAAAUAGGACGUUCGAUCCUAUUUUGUUGGUUUCUAGGAUUGACGUAAUGAUUAAUAGGGAUAGUUGGGGGCAUUAGUAUUCAAUUGUCAGAGGUGAAAUUCUUGGAUUUAUUGAAGACUAACUACUGCGAAAGCAUUUGCCAAGGAUGUUUUCAUUAAUCAAGAACGAAAGUUAGGGGAUCGAAGACGAUCAGAUACCGCCGUAGUCUUAACCAUAAACUAUGCCGACUAGGGAUCGGAUGAUGUUAAUUUUUUAAUGACUCAUUCGGCGCCUUACGGGAA
This 543-nucleotide ribosomal RNA is filed under the name uncultured Glomeromycotina. RNAcentral's name for it is "SSU rRNA". It matches the Rfam family "Eukaryotic small subunit ribosomal RNA", at positions 552 to 1096 of the family's 1831-position model. The record is from RNAcentral. Lineage: Eukaryota; Fungi; Glomeromycota.